ACAAACAAUGACAAAGUAUUAAGGCUGGUACUGCCACCGCCAGUCUAGGCCCUAGUGUUUAGCAUACUUUCGGAUCACUGACAGUUUCGAGUUUUCUCGGGCGUGGUUUCUAUCCCAUGAAUUUAACUUGACGUAUAAUGGAUAAAAAUUUCAGUAACAUCUUGAGUUCAUAUCAUCAAGUUCAAUAAUUGGUCAUUACAGCAUUACUCCAUUUUGCCAAGUAAUUUCUGCUAGAUAGAGCUGUCAUCAAAAUGUUUAUAAAGUUUAUCAAUUUAUUACUUACUGGAGUUUUGCUACUGUGUCUUCCAGUCAUCGCUAUCACAGAUAUUUUGUCACCAACAAUGGAUGUGACCAUUACACACGAUAUUUUCUGUGACCCAGAAUGUCAAAAUAAUGGUACUUGUGUGCUUGGGAAGUGCUCCUGUCCACAGGGUUUCACUGGUUUAUCGUGUGAAGAU
Long non-coding RNA from Anneissia japonica, 458 nucleotides. RefSeq lists it as uncharacterized. NCBI's taxonomy places the organism in Eukaryota, Metazoa, Echinodermata, Crinoidea, Comatulida, Comatulidae. The transcript has 3 exons. The record is from RefSeq and is a predicted model, not a curated record.